GAUGAACGCUAGCGAUAGGCCUAACACAUGCAAGUCGAGGGGCAUCACAUGAAGUAGCAAUACGGAUGGUGGCGACCGGCGCACGGGUGAGUAACACGUAUGCAACCUGCCUUCAACAAGGGGAUAACCCGUUGAAAGACGGACUAAUACCCUAUAACACAGGGGUCCCGCAUGGGAAUAUUUGUUAAAGGACAACCGGUUGAAGAUGGGCAUGCGUUCCAUUAGCUAGUUGGCGGGGUAACGGCCCACCAAGGCAACGAUGGAUAGGGGAACUGAGAGGUUUAUCCCCCACACUGGUACUGAGACACGGAUCAGACUCCUACGGGAGGCAGCAGUGAGGAAUAUUGGUCAAUGGACGCAAGUCUGAACCAGCCACGUCGCGUGAAGGAAGACGGCCCUACGGGUUGUAAACUUCUUUUGUAAGGGAAUAAAGUGCCCCACGCGUGGGGUUUUGCAUGUACCGUAUGAAUAAGGAUCGGCUAACUCCGUGCCAGCAGC
This 498-nucleotide ribosomal RNA is filed under the name uncultured bacterium. RNAcentral describes it as "bacterial SSU rRNA". It matches the Rfam family "Bacterial small subunit ribosomal RNA", at positions 28 to 515 of the family's 1533-position model. The record is from RNAcentral.